This 76-nucleotide transfer RNA is filed under the name Cordylochernes scorpioides. RNAcentral describes it as "tRNA-Thr". It matches the Rfam family "tRNA". Rfam says of the family: Transfer RNA (tRNA) molecules are approximately 80 nucleotides in length. Their secondary structure includes four short double-helical elements and three loops (D, anti-codon, and T loops). Lineage: Eukaryota; Metazoa; Arthropoda; Arachnida; Pseudoscorpiones; Chernetidae. The record is from RNAcentral.
GUCCAGUUAUGCCUAGUGGACAUGGCAUCUGCCCGGUAAGCAGAAACACUGUGGGUUCAAUUCCCAUCCCUGGACA